GCGGAAUCCAAGCGAAACUCCUGCUUUUGCAUGUCUGCUGUAUGACCAAAAAUCUGUAAUUUUCAGACUUUUCUUGUAUUGAAAGUGAACAUCAGUCAACAAGAUUUUGGAGGGCUAGUGGGGUGGAGAUAAGGUCAAGCACAAUGUUAACGUAGCAUUUCUUUGUUCCUGUUGUCUCAUGUGUUAGCCAUUAUUAUAUCACGGGCCAGAGUACCUAAAAUGAGCUGCACUCUCCUAGCCAAAGGCUAUAGCAGUAAUGGACAAGAAAAGUAAUUCCAGAAGAUAUCUGUAAUAGGCCUGUCAAUCAAAAGGGAGCCAGAGGAAAAUGCUGCCUCAAAGUACAAGGUGGCCUUGGCAGACUUUCAACAGUGCUUGCUAAUCCUCAGACCGAGUGGCAACUGCAAAGCUGCUGAAACAGCUGGCAACAGGGCUCACCAAGAAGUCAGUUGCCAUCACUAAUAAAAUGUUAUCUACAGACUGAUAGCUGGGUCCUGAGAAAAAUAGAAGAGCUACAACUUCUCAGACCAAGUGGCACUAAGAUUAUCGCCAGUCUUAAUCGAGUUUGCUCCUACAGCCGAACAGCCAGUGACCUUGUUACUUGCACAACAAACAUCUCUGCUGUUUCCCGUGUGCAGGAAAUACGUUUAGUCUAACGAGCCUGCUGCGAACAGUUCCAUGGAUUUGGUAUAGUUACAGCUUUUAUAGGUAAGUUAGGAAAUUCAGCCGGCUGGAGGGUAGAGAAAAGCACACUGACUAGUGCGUGGUGGCAGGCGCAGAAUAAUCAGAAGACAGAGAAGGUCCUAGGGAGGUUAAAUAAAACGCUGAGAUUUUCACA
Molecule: long non-coding RNA, 835 nt
Filed under: Struthio camelus australis
Lineage: Eukaryota; Metazoa; Chordata; Aves; Struthioniformes; Struthionidae
Description: lncRNA (ENSSCUG00000017077.1)
Source: RNAcentral